Populus trichocarpa (black cottonwood) is the source of this 445-nucleotide long non-coding RNA. RefSeq lists it as uncharacterized. The transcript has 2 exons. The record is from RefSeq and is a predicted model, not a curated record. Lineage: Eukaryota; Viridiplantae; Streptophyta; Magnoliopsida; Malpighiales; Salicaceae.
GUUUGCUAGGUUUUUUGUGUGGGGCCUCUUCUCCUGCGUUUCCAACUUUGUUGGGUGAGCUUAUGUGGUUUUAUUUUGCUGGAAAUAGAAAGUGGUUUCACUUCUGGAGAUUCUUGUCUUUGUAGCUUCUGACAAGGCUGAGGUGUAUGCAUUGUGGCAUUAAAUAUGAGAAGAAAGUGACCAUUUGUACAUGAAGGGGUCGCAUCACAUGCUGAUGCUAAAGAUUUUGGUCUACGUUGAUGUGUUUACUACUUUCUAGCAAAUCUUGACUUGGAGUCAGUUGGAGUCAUAUAUGUACCACCUCUCUUGGUUCCCUCUCCCUCAUUCUCUCUAGUUGUCUACAGUUCUAUGUUUAAGUCAGUCGCCAAAUGUUUGGUGUUUGGCUGUUGUUAUUCAAGAACUAAAUUAUUUAUACAUUGAAGCGAAAGAAUGCAGCGUAUUAUUU